This 537-nucleotide ribosomal RNA is filed under the name Beauveria bassiana. RNAcentral's name for it is "eukaryotic LSU rRNA". The stretch from base 177 to 330 matches the Rfam family "5.8S ribosomal RNA". Lineage: Eukaryota; Fungi; Ascomycota; Sordariomycetes; Hypocreales; Cordycipitaceae. The record is from RNAcentral.
CGGAGGGAUCAUUACCGAGUUUUCAACUCCCUAACCCUUCUGUGAACCUACCUAUCGUUGCUUCGGCGGACUCGCCCCAGCCCGGACGCGGACUGGACCAGCGGCCCGCCGGGGACCUCAAACUCUUGUAUUCCAGCAUCUUCUGAAUACGCCGCAAGGCAAAACAAAUGAAUCAAAACUUUCAACAACGGAUCUCUUGGCUCUGGCAUCGAUGAAGAACGCAGCGAAACGCGAUAAGUAAUGUGAAUUGCAGAAUCCAGUGAAUCAUCGAAUCUUUGAACGCACAUUGCGCCCGCCAGCAUUCUGGCGGGCAUGCCUGUUCGAGCGUCAUUUCAACCCUCGACCUCCCCUUGGGGGGGUCGGCGUUGGGGACCGGCAGCACACCGCCGGCCCUGAAAUGGAGUGGCGGCCCGUCCGCGGCGACCUCUGCGCAGUAAUACAGCUCGCACCGGAACCCCGACGCGGCCACGCCGUAAAACACCCAACUUCUGAACGUUGACCUCGAAUCAGGUAGGACUACCCGCUGAACUUAAGCAU